RNAcentral lists this ribosomal RNA (465 nucleotides) under uncultured bacterium. RNAcentral describes it as "bacterial SSU rRNA". It matches the Rfam family "Bacterial small subunit ribosomal RNA", at positions 339 to 797 of the family's 1533-position model. The record is from RNAcentral.
AUACGGGAGGCAGCAGUUUCGAAUCAUUCACAAUGGGCGAAAGCCUGAUGGUGCGACGCCGCGUGAGGGAUGAAGGUCUUCGGAUUGUAAACCUCUGUCACUAGGGAAGAAACGCUGAAUUUUAAUACGAUUCAGCCUGACUUAACCUGGAGAGGAAGCAGUGGCUAACUCUGUGCCAGCAGCCGCGGUAAUACAGAGACUGCAAGCGUUAUUCGGAUUCACUGGGCGUAAAGGGUGCGCAGGCGGCCGUGUGUGUCAGAUGUGAAAGCCCGGGGCUUGACCCCGGAACUGCGUCUGAAACUACACGGCUAGAGCAUUGGAGAGGGAAGUGGAAUUCAUGGUGUAGCAGUGAAAUGCGUAGAUAUCAUGAGGAACACCAGAGGCGAAGGCGACUUCCUGGACAAUUGCUGACGCUCAGGCACGAAAGCGUGGGUAGCAAAAGGGAUUAGAUACCCGUGUAGUCCG